CUUGCUGCCAUGCAAGAUGUGACUUUGCUCUUCAUUCACCUUCUGCCAUGAUUGUGAGGGCUCCCCAGCCAUGUAGAACUAAAUUGUGGAGCCACCAUCUCUAAACAUCCUGCCUAACAGGACUUCUAGAAGUUCGCCAAAGGUCUCCUCAACCCCAGUUCAGUGAUAUAAUUUUGGUUUCUGAAGAGUGUUGACAUUUAUGGAUCGUCUGGUUGGAGAACUAAAGAAAUUUCUGGCAAGUGGAUACCACAUUGACAAGGUGCUCAUCAGCUGGUACAAUGGACCUUUAUCUCAGAGUUUAAAUUUAUUUGCAAGUGAUCUGAAAAGUCCAAGGUUAAGAUGCAAGACUGGCUAGAAGGAUAAGCAGUGGGAACAACGGCACAGGAGAUGUCCUUAUGGGUCCCCAACACUUUCUCUUUUGCCCUUUGGCAGGUGCUAGUGACAGACAUGGGGCUUCACCAUGUUGCCCAGGGCUGUUCUCGACCUCCUGGAUUCAAGCAAUCCUUCCACCUCGGCCUCCCAAAGUGCUGGGAUUACAGGCAUGAGCCACCUCGCCACUGGCUGGACUCCUCCGAUUGACUUCUAUUCACCAGAAUGUUGAUGGCUCUGGUUCUCACCCUGUUGUUGUUUGCAUGGGAAUAUUCCCUAGAAAAGAGAUAAGGCCUCUCUCCUGCCUUUCUUCCACCCAGAUUAAGACUGUGAGAUGAAGACAGAAACAGCAUCCGCUGAGGCACCUUCUCUUGUGGGAAUGUAAGGAGUGAGGGAGGAAAAUGCUUCUUGACAUCUACCUUGUAGAUCUGAAGGAAAUUACUCCAGAUUAUCUGGGUGGCCCCAGUGUAAUCAGGAGAGAGCCCUGCCUCUUAGUUGACACCUCGAUUUUGGACUUCCAGCCUCCAGAACUGUGAGAGAAUAAUACAUUUCCGUAGUUUUAAGCUAUUUGGACUCUGAUACUUUGUUACAGCAACCCUGGGAAACUAAUAUAAUCAGCCAUCUCCUUAAAUGCCAAGCAACAAGUGCCUUUAUUGAGAGACACCCUGUAGUCUCAGCUACUAGGGAGGCUGAAGUGGGAGGACUGCUUGAGCCCAAGAGUUUGAGGCUGCAGCGAGCUAUGCUUGCACCACUGUACUCCAGCCUGGGUGACAGAACGAGACCUUAUCUCUGUCUUAAAAAAAAAACUAUCUUGUUUUGUAAAAAUUAAGUCUCCAUAAGAAGCGAAUAUACUAUUGAUAACUCUUACAUAAUAUUGCUCUGGAACAUGACAUUUUCCUAUUAAAACCAUUUGUGACUAAUAGCACUACAGAGUUUCUAUCCUCUUUUCUUGAAUGCAUGUCAUGUUGUUUGUGGUUAAGCUUUUUUAUAUAAAGGCAUUGAUUUCAAAAAAUCAUGUAAUAUGGUGGUUGGAGAAUUACUAUAAUUUUUAUUUUGUAGGCCCCUACCCAAGACCCAAGCAGCAUGUUCAGAUAUUGUUUGGGUAAGAAAAAGAGACACUUAGAAAACCCCUCAACCUCAAAAUUAAUGCUUUGAUUGGAACAG
This 1533-nucleotide long non-coding RNA is filed under the name Homo sapiens (human). RNAcentral describes it as "HSALNT0115154". Lineage: Eukaryota; Metazoa; Chordata; Mammalia; Primates; Hominidae. The record is from RNAcentral.